Molecule: ribosomal RNA, 536 nt
Filed under: Nocardia neocaledoniensis
Lineage: Bacteria; Bacillati; Actinomycetota; Actinomycetes; Mycobacteriales; Nocardiaceae
Description: bacterial SSU rRNA
Rfam family: Bacterial small subunit ribosomal RNA
Source: RNAcentral
GGGCGAAAGCCUGAUGCAGCGACGCCGCGUGAGGGAUGACGGCCUUCGGGUUGUAAACCUCUUUCGACAGGGACGAAGCGCAAGUGACGGUACCUGUAGAAGAAGCACCGGCCAACUACGUGCCAGCAGCCGCGGUAAUACGUAGGGUGCGAGCGUUGUCCGGAAUUACUGGGCGUAAAGAGCUUGUAGGCGGUUCGUCGCGUCGUUCGUGAAAACUUGGGGCUCAACCCCAAGCUUGCGGGCGAUACGGGCGGACUAGAGUACUUCAGGGGAGACUGGAAUUCCUGGUGUAGCGGUGAAAUGCGCAGAUAUCAGGAGGAACACCGGUGGCGAAGGCGGGUCUCUGGGAAGUAACUGACGCUGAGAAGCGAAAGCGUGGGUAGCGAACAGGAUUAGAUACCCUGGUAGUCCACGCCGUAAACGGUGGGUACUAGGUGUGGGUUUCCUUCCACGGGAUCCGUGCCGUAGCUAACGCAUUAAGUACCCCGCCUGGGGAGUACGGCCGCAAGGCUAAAACUCAAAGGAAUUGACGGGGG